RNAcentral lists this long non-coding RNA (689 nucleotides) under Homo sapiens (human). Its description in RNAcentral is "HSALNT0175847". Lineage: Eukaryota; Metazoa; Chordata; Mammalia; Primates; Hominidae. The record is from RNAcentral.
GGGCCAAGGCGCCACCCUAGUGGGGUCCCAGCGCCGGAGCCCGCCCCCUACCUGCCCAUCCAGCCCACCGCGGAGCAAGCACAAGCCGAGAGAUUCCCCGCCCCGGCCAAGCCUGGCACUGAGACCCGACGCCCGACGCUGUUUGGUGUGCGGUUGUGUGCGCCCCAGAGCCGCGGGUCCAAGAAGGCGAAGGAAACGCUGGCGGUGGAUCAAAGACUCUGGACUAGAGGCUCACAAGGAGGGGCUGAGGGGCGCGGUCACUGCGAGCCAUUCACGUCCAGCGGCGUGCGGCCGGCCUACCUGCUGGGAUCACUUCAGUGUAGUAACUCGAAACAGUGUUACUGUCCGGCCCUUUUCACAUCUGCUGGUUUUACCGGGCCCCAGGGCUUGGCUCCGCCCCGCCUAAUUGCCCUACAGCUUCCUCAUUGCUACACUCACACCCCUCUCUCCUGCCAGGAUCCCUCCACCGACGCUCAAAGUCUGUGUGUGGCUGCGGUGGACAGAGGACUGGGACACGUGAACGCCUUUGAGCCACCAAUCAUGGCCACUCUCAUUCCAUGACUCUUCUUCCUUCGCCUGCUACCACCAGCAGCAGUUCCCCCCUGCCUUCUCCCCCCACCUCCCAUCCGGAGCCCUCCUGCGGGAGCUCCUGGCAGAAAAGCACUGGCUGUCACUGGCUUCGAGCCCAC